This 1455-nucleotide ribosomal RNA is filed under the name Ureaplasma gallorale. RNAcentral describes it as "16S ribosomal RNA". It matches the Rfam family "Bacterial small subunit ribosomal RNA". The record is from RNAcentral. Lineage: Bacteria; Bacillati; Mycoplasmatota; Mycoplasmoidales; Mycoplasmoidaceae.
AUUAACGCUGGCGCCAUGCCUAAUACAUGCAAAUCGAACGAAGCCUUUAUGGCUUAGUGGUGAACGGGUGAGUAACACGUAUCCAAUCUACCCUUAAGUUGGGGAUAACUAAUCGAAAGAUUAGCUAAUACCGAAUAAUAACAUCAUUAUCGUAUGAGAAGAUGUAGAAAGUUGCGUUUGCAACGCUUUUGGAUGAGGGUGCGACGUAUCAGAUAGUUGGUGAGGUAACGGCUCACCAAGUCAAUGACGCGUAGCUGUACUGAGAGGUAGAACAGCCACAAUGGGACUGAGACACGGCCCAUACUCCUACGGGAGGCAGCAGUAGGGAAUUUUUCACAAUGGGCGAAAGCCUUAUGAAGCAAUGCCGCGUGAACGAUGAAGGUCUUAUAGAUUGUAAAGUUCUUUUAUAUGGGAAGAAUGCUAAGAUAGUAAAUGAUUAUUAGUUUGACUGUACCAUUUGAAUAAGUAUCGGCUAACUAUGUGCCAGCAGCCGCGGUAAUACAUAGGAUGCAAGCGUUAUCCGGAUUUACUGGGCGUAAAACGAGCGCAGGCGGAUUUGUAAGUUUGGUAUGAAAUCUAGAUGCUUAACGUCUAGCUGUAUCAAAAACUACAAAUCUAGAGUGUAGUAGAGAGUUGGGGAACUCCAUGUGGAGCGGUAAAAUGCGUAGAUAUACGGAAGAACACCGGUGGCGAAGGCGCCAACUUGGACUAUCACUGACGCUUAGGCUCGAAAGUGUGGGGAGCAAAUAGGAUUAGAUACCCUAGUAGUCCACACCGUAAACGAUGAUCAUUAAAUGUCGGCUCGAAUGAGUCGGUGUUGUAGCUAACGCAUUAAAUGAUCUGCCUGGGUAGUACAUUCGCAAGAAUGAAACUCAAACGGAAUUGACGGGGACCCGCACAAGUGGUGGAGCAUGUUGCUUAAUUUGACAAUACACGUAGAACCUUACCUAGGUUUGACAUCUAUUGCAAUGCUAUAGAAAUAUAGCGGAGGCUAACAAUAUGACAGGUGGUGCAUGGUUGUCGUCAGCUCGUGUCGUGAGAUGUUGGGUUAAGUCCCGCAACGAGCGCAACCCCUUUCGUUAGUUACUUUAUCUAGCGAUACUGCUACCGCAAGGUAGAGGAAGGUGGGGAUGACGUCAAAUCAUCAUGCCCCUUAUAUCUAGGGCUGCAAACGUGCUACAAUGGCUAAUACAAAUUGCUGCAAUACCGUAAGGUGGAGCGAAUCAAAAAAGUUAGUCUCAGUUCGGAUAGAGGGCUGCAAUUCGUCCUCUUGAAGUUGGAAUCACUAGUAAUCGCGAAUCAGACAUGUCGCGGUGAAUACGUUCUCGGGUCUUGUACACACCGCCCGUCAAACUAUGGGAGCUGGUAAUAUCUAAAACCGCAACGCUAACCGUAAGGAGGCAUGCGUCUAGGGUAGGAUCGGUGACUGGAGUUAAGUCGUAACAAGGUAUCCCU